Molecule: long non-coding RNA, 7458 nt
Filed under: Homo sapiens (human)
Lineage: Eukaryota; Metazoa; Chordata; Mammalia; Primates; Hominidae
Description: non-protein coding LINC00200:6
Source: RNAcentral
GAGGGAUGGCGCCGGCGCAGGCCUGCGCGCCACGCGCUUUAGGUGGAUGAGGGAUGGCGCAGGUGCAGGCCUGCGCGCCUCACGCUUUAUGUACAUGAGGGAUGAGGCAGCACAGGAAUUGGCACAACCUGAAGUCAGCUCUGCAGCUUUCCAAGCUUCGUUCUGCGUGUCCUGUACUCAACAGUCAUCUCAUGCUGCAGGGUGGCUGCGUGUGCUCCGUACAUCACACCCAUAUUUCAGGUAGGGACGGUUCCCGGAGGGUGCUCAGCACCAUGCCGACUACUGCUGGCUGGCACGUUCGCACGUGGCCAUGUCAGCUCCAAGGAGGAUGCUGACAUCCUGCUGGCUGGCACGUUCGCACGUGUCCAUGUUAGCUGCGAGGGCCAUGCCGACAUCCUGCUGGCUGGCACUUCCACAGGUAGCCAUGUUAGCUGAGAGGGCGAUGCCAACAUCUUGCUGGCUGGCACGUUUGCACGCGGCCAUGUUAGCUGCGAGGACAAUGCUUCUGCAACUUUUGGUUUCUUCCCUUUCAUCCUCCCACCCCUGACCGUUUUUGCCUGGGAGCAAGUGCCUAAUAAAUUACCUGCACUCAAAUCUUUGGCUCAGAGACUUUCCGAGAGAACCCAAGCUGAGGCAGACAAUGAAAUCAACACUACCAGCCACUUAGCUGCCAGCUGGGUGGAGAGUGGGCUGCUCUUCCAAGACGCUUUUCAGCCUCUGAAGGCUCAUUUCCAGAAGGUCCUGUCUAUCUGGGCUACUUGCUUCCAGAGCAGUUGCAUCUGGCUGGAUAGCUAAUGAGCGAUAAGGCCUGCAAACCUCAAGCCACAUCUUUAAAGAUGAGGGCCCUGAUGUUCCACAGUGUGCGACGUUACUGGGGUCCAGCCAGUUAUGUUCUGGGAGCUGCCUGAAUGAAAAUCAAUUUGUUAUUUUAGUUGGUUGGCUUGUUUAAAAAAAAAUUAAAUAACAAGAAAUAAGAAAAAACGUGCAAUGGCUUUGAGGUAGAACAGAAAAUCCAGUGAGCCCUCUCUGUGCCUCUGGCAGAAGAAACUGUGAAGAUUUGCAUUUAGAAAAACGCCUCCUCAACUUUGGCGGCACCUGAUGGUUCAUGGUUCCUAAAAUUAGAAAAUGCUAGAGCCUUGGUUCUUUUUUUUUUUUUUUUGACGGAGUCUCACUCUGUCACCAGGCUGGAGUGCAGUGGUGUGAUCUUGGCUCACUGCAACCUCCACCUCCUGGAUUCAAGUGAUUCUCCUGCCUCAGCCUCCCGAGUAGCUGGGACUACAGGCGCCCGCCACCAUGCCUGGCUGAUUUUUGCAUUUUUAGUAGAGAUGGGGUUUCACCAUGUUGGCCAGGAUGGUCUCGAUCUCUUGACCUCGUGAUCCACCCGCCUUGGCCUCCCAAAGUGCUGGGAUUACAGGCGUGAGCCACUGCGGGAGCCUUGCUUCUAUGCGAGUAUUUCGGAGACAAUUAGACAAACAUCCCACAGCCCCAUUUUGAAGCCUGGCAUUGUGUUGGCUGCAGUGAAUUCUGGGGGUGGAGGUGGCUGGAGGGAAAGAGUUGGGAGUCUUGUUUUGUUUUGUGUUUCCUGGAGAGUUUUGGGUUCUGCGGGAUAAUAUGUGCUUGCAGGUGCAGCAGGAGUAGCAUUCUCAUUUCUCACGGCAGUUCAGUCCCUGAGCAGACGGGAGAGGUGAAAUAGAAACACACAUUACAGAAGGGACAUGCUUUCUUAAGGGCACGGGGACCGUGACACAUUGCUUUGAUGAACGGUGAUGGAGUCACACAUGGGGAAAUUCAACAUGGACACACCAGUCUCGCUAUGGAGACAUCUGUGUUGUAUGGGAGCUAAUGGCUUUGAAUGAGCCCAUAUUCAUUUUUCUAGCAGUUUUGAUACUAACAUAAAGAGAGAAUGUGUGUGGACAGAGGAGGCUGUCCUGCACGGACUCUGGGUGUACUUUGUGCCAGUGACAUUUUGUUCCAGAGUGAUUUUGCUUGUUCCAGUUUUUCUGAAAGGAAAGCUUCCCCACAGUUUUGGGGACUGCUGUUUGUCUCAUGCCACAUGUGAGGAUUUGUGGGGUCCACAGUCUGCGACUGUGCUGUCCAGCAUCGAUUCCAUUCACACUGGUUCUUACUUUCAAAGUCUAUUCUGUUACAGGGAGAAGACUGCACAUAUAACACAGCUCUGCAUGGAAAACCUUCCGCCUGGAGGGGUGGCUUCCUAGAGGUGUGGCGUUGCCCUCUGUCUUGAACAGGCUGCACUUUCCAGGGCACAUCACGUGGGUGUGCGGUCUGGCUGCUGGGUCCACGCGGGUUCUCAAUCAUGACCUGGCUUGCAAGCUCUUUCCACAGUUGGAUAAAUGAAGCCGUUGGGGAAGUAUCCGCAAACUCUUACAGUGAGUAUGUGAUAAUGACACACGCGUGGCCCUUCUAAGACCUCCGCUAGGCAUUAUCAGUGACUGUGCUCGUGAGCGCUGACCUCCGCUAGGCGUUAUCAGGGACUGUGCUCGUGAGCGCCGACCUCCGCUAGGCGUUAUCAGGGACUGUGCUCGUGAGCGCGGACCUCCGCUAGGCGAUAUCAGGGACUGUGCUCAUGAGGGCGGACUUUCACCAGCCACGCUUCCGAGGAGUGGAGUCUUUCUCAGCUCUGCCUCUCCAAGAUGACCAUCUUGUGAAGACGAUGCGUUCUUUAUACACAAGUUCUGUGUGUGUGUGUGUGUGUUCCACACACAGGACCAAAGUUGAGAUAGGCGCACAUUUUCUUGGUCCCACUUGUGGCCCCAGUCGGCUGUCAGAAGUGGGUGUGCUCCACAUGUACCCACCAUGUCAGGGCACAGUGCUCACAUUUCACACCUCAGCAGGUGCCUUGAUGUUGACCAGAGGCCCCAAAAUCAUCUCUUUCUAUGACUUCUAGAUCUUAGAUUCCCAGGAACUGGGAAAUGCAGUCAGUAUCUUUUGGGUCCAAGAAACUUUGUCAGAGCCCUUGUGGGAGAACCAUAGAUUCUCACCAGAUAAACAGAAGAGCUUCGUGUUAGAGAAACCCGCCUGUCUCCCCACAUUCUCAGUUUUCUGGAGAGCAGCUGAAAGCCAUCUGGGUGGAGAUUAAGAGCUCCAACCGUGUAGCUUUGAUGUAUCGGGCAAGUUGCUUAAGCUCUUUAAUGCUGUUUCCUCAUUUAUUGUGUGAGGCCAAAAAUACCCAUUCCUUAAAGUUGUGAGGAUUAAAAACAGUAAUGAAAAGUGAGUGGCAAGUGCCGAGUACACAGUCAAGUACCUGAUACUUUUUAGUGUAAGGUAAGUAGCAAGAAAGCAUGAAAUUUAUUUUCAUUUACUCUUACUACAUGUGGUAAACCAUCUAUGCACAGAGCACUGCAUUGGGUGCCAUGAAUGACAGAAUAAGAGUACCAGGUGCAUGAAAAGCUUAAAAGACAAAUGAGACAGAGCUAGGCUGCAGAAGACUUAAAAAGUUGAUGUAUUUAACUUUUAAUGGACACACUGUACAUGUUUAUGGGGUACGAUUUGUUGUUUCCAUGCAUAUCUGUGUUGUGUAAUGAUCCAAUCAGGGUAGUGUGUGUGCCCAUUUCCUCAAGGGUGGAUCAUUAUGUGUAUCAUCGUGCAUCAUCAUGUAUCAUGCAUGUACCAUCAUCAUGCAUCAUUGUGCAUCAUCAUGCCUGUAUCAUUAUGUAUCACCUCAUGCAUAUAUUAUAAUGUAUCACCUCAUGCGUGUAUUAUCAUGUAUCACCAUGCAUGUAUUGUGCAUGUGCCAUCAUCAUGCAUCAUUGUGCAUCAUCAUGCCUGUAUCAUUAAUCACCUCAUGCAUAUAUUAUAAUGUGUCACCUCAUGCGUGUUUUAUCAUGUAUCACCAUGCAUGUAUUGUGCAUGUACCAUCAUCAUGCAUCAUUGUGCAUCAUCAUGUCUGUAUCAUUAAUCACCUCAUGCAUAUAUUAUAAUGUGUCACCUCAUGCGUGUAUUAUCAUGUAUCACCAUGCAUGUAUUGUGCAUGUACCAUCAUCAUGCAUCAUUAGGCAUCAUUGUGCAUGUAUCAUCACCUCAUGCAUGUAUUAUGUAUCACCUCAUGCAUGUAUCAUGCAUGUACCAUCAUCAUGUAUCAUUAUGCAUCAUUGUGCAUGUAUCACUGUGUAUCAUGCAUGUGUCAUCAUGCAUCGCCCCAUGCGUGUAUCAUUUCUUUGUGGUGAGAACACUCAGAAGCCUCUCAUCUCGCUAUCUUGUCAUAUAUGCUAUUUUAUUGUUAACCAAAGUCAGCCUAUUGUGCAGUAGAACAAUCUCUCCUCAUCCCCUGUCCUCAUCCUCCCCUCCCAAGCUUCCAUAACCACUGUUUACUCUCUGCUCCUAGGAGAUCAACUUAAAAUUUUGUGUUAUUUUUGGAUUUCACAUACAAGAAAUCCAUACAAGAGCUCCAUAUGAGAUCGCUCAGUACCUGUUUCUCUGUACCUGGCUUAUUUCGCUUAACAUGAUGUCCAAGCUCAUCCAUAUUGUCACAGAUGCUGGGAUAUCAUUUUUUUCAUGGGAGAAUGGUAUUCCAUUGUGUAUCUACACCACAUUUUCUUUAUUCAUUCUCCGUUGUUGGGCACCAAGGGCGAUUCCAUACCUUGGUGAUUAUGAACAGUGCUGCGAUAAGUGUGGGGGUGCCGAUGUCUCCUCAACCCAUGGAUUUCCUGUCACCUGGGUCUUUACCCAGCAAUGGGUUGCUGAGUCCCAUGGUAGUUCUAUUUGUGUUUUUUUGAGGAACCUCUCUGCUGUUUUCCUGAGUGGCUGUAGAGAGCUAUAGAACUUUAGGUCUGUGAGAGAUAAGUCCUCCAGUACACAUGCCAUUUUCAGAAGGGCAAACUGUAGCCCAGGAAGGUCAGGUGCCUUGACCAAGGCAGGCACAGUGAGAAAGAGGCAGUGUUAGGACCGCAACUGAUUUUCCUCUCCAGUCUCUUUUGUGAAGAUUGGAUGCUAAGGUCAUAUAGGAAGCACUAUGGAAUAUGUAGGAGGUGCUCAGUCUGUUUUGUGAAGAUUGUAUGCCAAGGUCAUAUGGGAAGCACUAUGCAUUAUGUAGUAGGUGCUGUGUGCCAUACAUUAAGAUUACAUUGUAAAUAGCAGGCACUAUGUAUUGUAUAUUAGCAUGAUGCACUGGGUCCUGUUGUCUGGGAGCCUGGCACCUGGCAGCUUCAAAGAACUUACAAGGUCCACAGGAAGGAACCUGGGACAGCCCAGGGAGCAUCACUGAAAGAAUUGGCCUGGAACAGAAGCCCCACAGCUCACCUGGGGGGAGCAGGGGGAGGAUAGGGGUGAGGAGGGAGAGGACCAGGGGAGCAGCGGGAGGACCAGGGGUGCAGGACGAGCACUGGGGGUGCACGGGAGAGCAGGGUGCAAGGACCUUGCUGGCUGAGAAGACAGCGGGAAUGGCGGGUCCUGGGAGAGGGGAGGAGGGGAGGCAGGCCACCAGCCACCCUGACUUCAGCCAGGAGACCCAUUUCAGAGGCUCAAAGGGUGGAGAUGGUGCAGCCAUAGUGGGAAGCUGAGCCCCAUGCUGGAUGCUCAGAUUGAGGGGGCUCCUGAGGGGCUGCGUUCCUCUCUCCAGGGGCCGUGGGACGGUGGCUGCUCAUCUCACAGGUAUUUAUUGGGUUUUUCACCACCUGCCAGGACUUUGCUGCCCACGUCACACAUUUCAUGUAACCUGUAGGUGUAGAGGCCUCAUUUUCAGACAAAGAUGAACUAAGAAAGUGUCUUCUCGGAGGUCACGGCUGGAGCCAGAUGGUCAGGCUCAGGCUGGGGCUGGCUUCCCUCGAUGUGAUGCACGGCUCCCAUGUCACGUUUCCCUGACUAUCAGGAGCUCCCAGAGGCCAAGGAUGGGGUGGCCGCCUGGACAAUUCAGACCUAAGGAAGGGCUCCUGGCCUCUUCCCUGAGAGCCUCUAAGCUGACUGCUCUCUUCCUGCUCAGCAGCUCAUGAUCCCCGGUGGCUUCCUUGAGCUGGGACUUGACUGAAACCCCUGGGACUGGCCCUCCAGCCACCCUGACUUCAGGGGGUCGAGGUGCUCACUGGGCCAGUGCUCAGGAGGCUCCGUGCCAGCUGGAACACCGGGAAACCCUCUAUCUGAAUCUUUGACCCAGGGAGGAGCCUGGAGAGGUGACGUCCCGGCAGGCCUCUCCCGCAAAACCCAGAAUCAGAAGUGGCCACACCAGGUCCGGCACCCACGGCAGCAGCAGGAGCCAUUUCUGGGACAACUUUGGGGAUAUACUUGUCCUUCCAAGUGAAAGGAGCUUAAAAAGACCCCUGAGCAGGAGAGAAAAAGUAUCUUCAAAGAGAACUCCCUUCAUCUUGAAGAAAGUGUCUGCGCUAGCCUCUUGGCCAUUGCGCCGCAGUAGAAUCUUAGGCUCCGUCACUCCUGUGACUUAAUUCAAUUGGCAUCGGUAUUUUGAAAAUAAUGAUUUUUCCUAAUUGUAAAUGUGAAAUGUAUUAUAGAAACGUCGUCCACAAGCCUCUCACUCAGAGAGAGACACCGAUAACUGUUUCUUUCCAUGGAGUACAUUCCACCGUCCCGUUUUCCCACCACACCGCGUGGCCUGACGCUUUCCUCUGUCAUGAACGGCUCUGAUACAACGUGAGAUGAAAUUCCAUCUCAGACAUGCACUGUGAUCACUCACCCCUCACUCCUCAAUGCCUGUGUGUCAUUGAGCACCUCACCUGUGCUAUAUAUUUCUCUUUAGGGUCACAAAAGAAUUGCUCUGUAAUCUCUGUGGGCAAGGAGAUUUCUCCCGAGUUUGAUUGGUUUUUCUGUUUUCUUAGGAUAGAAAUUUUUCUAGCAGUCAUUGGUCUAUUGAAAACACAAAUAAGCUUCACUUCAUACACUAGAAAACUUCAUAAUAUAAGGUUUAUAUUUGCCAUGAGAGGAAACAAAAUGUUGUCUUAAAUGCAUUCACGUACCCUAAGAAAAAUGGUAUGAAACGGUCAAGGAAAAGUUCCUUCUGAUAGUAAAAAAUUCACCCCCUUAUUAAACCAACAAUGAAGUUGCACUAGAUUAGAGUUUAGUUCCGAAACUCUGUGCUUUUAGAUAUUUGGUCCGUUAGGAUUUCCUGGUGGGGGGCACACGCGCGUAAGUCUCUUGAUGGUGGGGCUCUGGUUCUCUGGCCGAGACCACAGAUGUGUCUCCAGGCAGGUACUUCCUCUGCAAGUGUCUGAUGACCACAGUGAGGUGGGUGUGUUGAUAAUAAUCUACUGUCAUAGACACCUUACCUUAUUAAUACUGCUAAACCAGGAAGGGCACAAUUGAUAUUCUCAGGUUUUUUAAUCCUUUAAGAAGAAAAGAUAAUUAAAAAAAUCUUUUCACUCAAGAAGCAUACGAUAGAAUAUGGUGAUACAGACAAAGGGUAGGCCCACUGAUUCGAAAAUUACAGAUUGAAUCCCUGAGACAAAUAUCUCCCCUGCUUUCAGGUAGAUUACUGUCUACAGGUGGGAUAACCAU